AGAAAAUUAGUUAAAUAAAUAACAUUAUUAUGUCAUAAUAAAAUUAUUAAAUUAUUAAUAUUUUCUA
This 67-nucleotide transfer RNA is filed under the name Pharnaciini sp. NS-2020. RNAcentral's name for it is "tRNA-Asp". Lineage: Eukaryota; Metazoa; Arthropoda; Insecta; Phasmatodea; Phasmatidae. The record is from RNAcentral.